RNAcentral lists this ribosomal RNA (414 nucleotides) under Triticum aestivum (bread wheat). Its description in RNAcentral is "partial small subunit ribosomal RNA". Lineage: Eukaryota; Viridiplantae; Streptophyta; Magnoliopsida; Poales; Poaceae. The record is from RNAcentral.
GGGGCUGCUGCUACAAUAGGCAGGAACCACGAUGGUCUGUUCCUAGGCUCCUCAGCAAUGGUUUUUGAUGGGAUAAACGAUCCACCGAUGCUGGAAGCGUUGGCUUGCCGCGAGGCUCUAGCCCUAGCUCAGGAUCUAAAUUUAGAUCAGAUUGUUGUUGCUUGUGAUUGCAAAACCGUUGUGGAGGAAAUUAAGAGUGGGACGGAAGGGAGAUAUAGCAUUGUUAUUAAGGAGAUCCAGGCCCAGGCAAGACAAUUUUCUUGGUGUGAUUUCAUCUUCGAAGGUCGGCAAGGGAAUGUUGAUGCUCAUAAUUUAGUAAAAUUUUGUACUUCUCUAGAACAAGGGCACCAUAUGUGGCUGGGAGUACCCCAUGACCCUUUUGUUAUCGCUGUAAACCGAAACACUAAUCAAUAA